CACAGCGAUUUGAGAUGGUGACCAUCGGAUGGCUCCUCGCAGCGAAUCUCAACCGUUCAUCUUUUUCACCGCGUGGUAUAAAAGCGCCCAGACUCGCUGUGAAACCCUAGCCAGCCGCCGCCCGCAAUCCCCAAUCCCGUCGCGACCGAUUCGCCUCCUCCCCUCCACCUACUUCGUCGCGCGCGACGGCCGACGAUGCUGCUCAGCCUCCACCCCCGGCUUCCACCGCUCCUCUCGUCGUCCUCCCCAAUCCUCCCUCGCCAUGGAGCUCGGUCUCAGACAAGCGCGAGAGGAGGUCGCCGCUGCUGUGCACAACGAGGAGGCGCACAUCGACGGGCGCGGGAAGGGAGCCACCAGGUCGUCGAGCGCCUUGUGCUCCCAACACCGUCAGCCAGCGCGUCUCCGGCGAGCGGAGGAGGCCGCCGUCAUCAAGCAUGAUGAGGAGGUGCGCAUCGACGCGCGACGGAGGGAGUGCUCCGCGUGUGCGCCUCCGUUGCUGGUGUGUUGCUCCUUCCUCCCCAUGGCCUCCUCGUCCUCCUCCACGCUGCCUCCGUGCCCAACCUCCUCUACAUGGACGUGAGGCUCCAUAAUCCAUAUACUGUUUCCUCUGCCCCGCCUCCUCUGCACAACCUUGCAGAUGCUGAGAUGGGACGGUGCCAACAACAACAUCAACCACUGGUCGUCUCCUUCCUCCCCCUACAGCUAGGGUUUGGGUGACCCAUAGGUUCCAACAGUACCUUCAGAAGCCCUGUUUCCCCAAUUAAAUCAGGUUCCAGUGACCUAGGUGGAUCAAUCUAGAAGGGUGGCCGUGGUUUCACAGUGAGGAAUGAUUGUGGAGUGCUUAUUGUUGCAGGAGCAGAAUGAAGCAUGUCCGCCUCUGUACUUGUAACAUGUUAGUCUUCCGUUCCUGAAAAACAUCUAGAGUUGAGAAAGGUUGUAACCUUGGCGCUUCUCUGUAUAGCUGAAGAACAGAAGAAUGAAAUAAGUAAGGCCUCAUUUGGAUUUGCACUACCCAGAGAUCUUCAUUUUGGACAUGCCAACAACUGUUGAUUGUACAGGUGAAACAUAACUCUGUAGAUUGGACAUGACAAAAUACCAUCUUGCUAACUCUGUAGAUGGUUUUUGUUUGGCCAUUGGACCCAAUGCUUAGUGCCUUCAUUACUUCGGCAUCAUUAGUUAUGACUUAGAAUUGUUUCCAUGACUUAAAUUGCAAGUAUUGAAUUAAAUUUCAGUAAGCUGUUAAUUAGUUAGAGCCACAUUACAGCAUUGCCUGGUCUACUUGUGUAUUACAAUACUCCUGCACUUCUAUGGCUCGUAAGUGUACUUAUACAAGAAACAAGAUGCAUUUUUUACAGUAUUGGUGCGAUGUAGCAUCUCUUUCCAGUAUUGUGGCUAUUGAAUUUGCAGAAUUGGUGGAUUACUUUUUAUAUUGCAAGAGUUUCUUCAAUUCUGAACAGAGUGUAACAAUGCAAUAAUAUAUAAUGUUCACCUGCUUAUAUUUUCUAUGGUGGCUUGCCCAGUAACAGACUGGAGCAAAGACUGGAGCAAAGACGUAGAUGAAGAUCUAUGAAAGAUUCGACCCUAAUAUAAUUGUGCAAGGUUGUCAUUUCUCCUUAUUCUUUUGGUUCAGGUGUGUUAUGGAAGAAGAAAAUGAAGUUAUUCAAAUUGUCCCUGAUCUCGAUGUUCUACAGGGCUAGCGUUCUUGACUAAGGAGGAAAAAAGAGGCAUAUGUUUUAGUUUUGAAAUAAAGGAUCGGAACUCAACUAUAAAGUGUAUAUGAGGCGAGGCAAUUUUCUUUGGCCAGUUCUUUAUUUAUUUAUUUGAAGAUUUUUUAGAUUUAUGGUUAAUGCCAAUUUAAUUUCUGCAAGAGUUUUGGCUUUGUCAAUGCCAUGAUAUUAAUUCCUUAGUUAUUCUCCAAAAUACUACCUUUUGUCAGAUCUGUAUGGAUAUCUUUGGCGGAGCCUUGGCUCGGUGAGCCUGGGCAGCUGUCCAGGCUCAGCCGAGGAAUCUCCAUGCUGUUGGUAGUGGGAGUGAUUUAAUCAGCUGUUUAUGGGGAUAAAUGUCCAAAAUUGUUGUGCUGACCUCCAGUUAUCAGGUUGUAGCAGAUCAUGUCAUGUCUAUCUGAGUGGCGAGAAAUCAAGCAAAAGUAAAAGGUACAUCUCUGCAUUACUUAUCAGAACCAUGCCCUUGCAAUAUUGAGUGACUUAAUUUUUUAGCAUUGAAUGGCAUUCAUCAAUGGAAACUCAAGAAAUGAAGGUUUUUUUGGGUAUUGUAUUGCUUUUGUGAGCGUCUCUUCAUGUACUUCAGUGGCAAUGAGCAAAUAAAAUCUUACCAUUAAUAUAUAAUCUAUAAUUUACAGAGGAAUCUGCACCUUAACACUACCCUGUUUUCUAGGAUUCUCCAACUUAGUCUGAACAUUUAGGUGUUAAUUAUGUCUGUGUAAACUUUAUUUCUAUUUAAAUUAUCUUUAUGAUUGAUGAUUGAUAUAUAGUUAUUUACCAUAUGAUUUCGAUAUUUCUUCAAAAGAAAUUAGCACCUGGGUUGGGUGGCAACGUGUCCGAGCUGCCAAGCUAGGGCUAUAUAUCUAUACUAUCUUUGUAUUGGUGACAUCCAAUACAUUGAGCCACAUAAAUCUUUUUUUCUGUCCUGGUAGUUAUCAUCAUGUUUUUUCCUGUUUAGGUGCUCCAGAGAUGCAACGUUUUCAAAUGGCACCUCAUCUUUUUGUUCAUUUAUGUUGUUUGUCAUAGUUUUACACUAAGGGAUAAUUGGCUAUAUAAUGAUUCUCAUAGUUUUAAAAUAAAAAGGAAGUGUUUUAUUGUAGGUCUUUGGCCAUGGAGUUAAAGUUACUGGCUGGUACAAAAUUUUAGAUUCUAGGCACUAGAGGAACUAAAUUUGAGGUUUAGUUCUAUGAAUUGGUUGGUUUUCAGUGUUUUUUAUUUUUAUCAUAUAAUUAUUGAAACAUGAAGUGGCAUUGACACAUUUUUUUUACCAUAAGUAUCACUUCUCUGAGUUACUAAUAUUUUUUCCAAGAUCAGAUUAUUUCCUGGUCAUUUACCUAUUUCUUUGUAUUCACACUAGAAGUUGCUAUUGUCUAGGCUAUGUAGUCUGUAACUCUACUAGCAGGAGCGUCUUCACUAGGUAUAUUGGGGAUCCUAAUGCGCUGAUGGUGCUGCUGAUAUGACCAAAUGAAGUGCUAACAGCUUGUAUGGACAUUCUUAUUGUUGAACAUGUUUUAUGCUAUUCAUCAAGCCAUACCAAGUCGAUUAUCUUUGUAUGCUCUACUUCUGUCUUUAUUUAUGUCACGGUUGUGUGAUAAUCUAGAUAGUUGUAUUUUCCCUUCAAAUAGUGUUAGAUGAUUGAGUAAUUAUGGGUGGAAGUUACUGUUGUUUUGCACAUUUCCUUGUGUUGUCAUCUGCCUAGCUGCUGGUUGUUUGACAUUUGCUUUUCUCUUAGACCAAUUGAGGUACAUAUGUAUUAUGUAGUCGUAGUUUCAGUUUCUUGGUUUAUAUUCCAUGGUCUGUUCAGAUUAUGACAUGUACAAAUGUACAUUAAGGUCUGCUAAUUGGUUUGUUGGCCGACUUAUUCAUACUUACUCUAUUAUAGUUUCCUAAUUCAUCCAUAUUUCAGGAAUUUGGUAAGUAAACAAAAUAUUAAUGAAAUAGGAAAAUAUAUAGGUGUCAAAUUCAGCUACAUUGCGUGUGCAUGAUAUAUUUGGUGAAAUAUAUGAGUAAGCUCCAAAAAAAUAUGUGGGUUCCGAGUAUUGACCUAUUAUGGUUAUUUUUUUGGUUCCUCUCUUUCUCCUCGAAGCAUGUCCAUUCCCAAUAAUGUGAAUGCUUUGUUUUGUAGCCUGAAAAGGAAGCUUUUGCACUGCAACUCAAAUGGAUCUGGUUCAAAUUAGUCUUGGUGAAGUAUUACAGUCAUGUUUUUGCUUUUUUCCAUACUUGCAUUAGGUGUGUAAAUAUUUUGCCCAAAUGGCUUUCUUCAUGUUAUAGCUGAUAAAAGUCAGGUCCCUUGUGUGAUAUUUGGCCAUGUUCUAGACCAGAACAUAUGUAUAUUAAUUCAACGACGGACAAUUGGCUCAGAAAUAACAUGUGAGUCCAAUCUCGAAGGCUGCAGUCCAACACUGACCACAAGUAAGCCCCAUGACCUCCUCUGCUUCUCCCCUGCUUGCUGGAGGAUGGCACGCAGCAGUGUGGGGCAUUUGGCAGAGGUGUGCUUCUUUAUUUUUCUUCUACCUAUUUAUGAUAUUUUGCCAUUGGUUUGCAUAUGGGAUGAGACACAUAUAUCUCUUGAAACUGACAGCAGCAGUAGCUCUAUCAGAGUACUCUUGGAAGGAGCAGUCCUCAUGCAAGGAAGUAAUCGAGAGAACCUAUCUUUGGGGUCAUAGAAUAAUGCAGCAUCUGUCCUCGCAUAAUGUUCAUACCUUAUGAGACAUCUGUGUUGUUUUCUUACAGAUGGAUCCUCGUGACUCGGAUUAGCAAAAACACGAUUGCAAUUAUGGAGGGCGCCAUAAAACAGAGAUACAUCCUCACAUGAUCAAUAUGGAUUGCUUGGUUUGAGCGGCAGUUUAGCCUAUUAUUAUGCUUGUUUUGGUGCAGUACAAGAAGUUCAUUGGUUGCAAUUUUUUAGAUGAAUAUUGAUGUCCUAUAUUAGUAUUGUCUGUAUCUCUGAAUAUUGGGAGUUGAUAGCUUUUUCUUUGUCAAACAAAAUUUAUGGAACACUCCAGAUUGAUUGAA
Long non-coding RNA from Lolium perenne, 4736 nucleotides. RefSeq lists it as uncharacterized. The record is from RefSeq and is a predicted model, not a curated record. NCBI's taxonomy places the organism in Eukaryota, Viridiplantae, Streptophyta, Magnoliopsida, Poales, Poaceae.